UCCCUGGUAGUCCAGUGGCUAAGACUCUGCACUCCCAAUGCAGGGGGCGCAGGUUCAAUCCCUGGUCAGGGAA
Non-coding RNA from Bubalus bubalis (water buffalo), 73 nucleotides. The record is from the annotation of a RefSeq genome assembly. NCBI's taxonomy places the organism in Eukaryota, Metazoa, Chordata, Mammalia, Artiodactyla, Bovidae.